AUAUUCUGCUUUCAAGAUGGCGAACGGGUCAAACAUAAGAAAAUAUCGUGCAAUAUUUUUAUAAAUUAUAAAUCGUGCGAUCGAAUCUUCAUAUUUAUCAUGACAAUUUUAAAAAAGGAUCAAUUUGAAGCUGUUAUCAUAAAAAAGUGACCUCUUUUGAGGAUUCAUCAAGUUGCUCGAAUAGGAUAUUUCUUUAUUUUCCCCUAGCUGUGGACGCCGAAGGGAGCAGGUCUAUCAGGUUCUUCCAUGUUGGCAACUGCAGCGAUGAUCCAAGCUCCAGAAACCGAUGGCGGAAAGUGACAUCGGUUGAGAUCGGUGUUUGGCCACGUAUGUCGAGAAUCAUCACUUAAAAAUUAAUGCAUUUUUAUGUUUCUUGCUCAAAAGAGUUGAAUAAUAAUAAUUGAAAAACAAAAUCUUGACUUUGACAUAUUCAACAAAACAAAACAUUAUGGAACGGUAAAAAGAUGGAUUCAAUCAACAAUCGUGAUGUUUCAACCAACCUAUCAUGAUAGUUCCUUUGACAAUCAUGUUUGUUGGUUUGAUAAAAGUGAUUAUAAAAAUUACAAACAAACAACGUUUUGAUGACAACAAUCUCGUUUGUUGAGCCCACAA
Molecule: long non-coding RNA, 612 nt
Organism: Culex pipiens pallens (northern house mosquito)
Lineage: Eukaryota; Metazoa; Arthropoda; Insecta; Diptera; Culicidae
Exons: 3
Source: RefSeq, a predicted model, not a curated record